RNAcentral lists this ribosomal RNA (421 nucleotides) under uncultured bacterium. Its description in RNAcentral is "partial 16S ribosomal RNA". It matches the Rfam family "Bacterial small subunit ribosomal RNA", at positions 360 to 773 of the family's 1533-position model. The record is from RNAcentral.
AAUAUUUGACAAUGGGCGAAAGCCUGAUCCAGCCAUGCCGCGUGUUUGAUGAAGGUCUUCGGAUUGUAAAGCACCUUAAGUUGGGAGGAAGGGCAGUAAGUUAAUACCUUCCUGUUUUGACGUUACCGACAGCAUAAGCACCGGCUAACAUCGUUCCCUCAGCCGAGGUAAUACGAAGGGUGCAAGCGUUAAUCGGAAUUACUGGGCGUAACGCGUGUGUAGGCGGUUCGGAAAGAAAGAUGUGAGAUCCCAGGGCUCAACCUUGGAACUGCAUUGUUAACUGCCGAGCUAGAGUAUGGCAGAGGGUGGUGGAAUUUCCUGUGUAGCGGUGAAAUGCAUAGAUAUAGGAAGGAACACCAGUGGCGAAGGCGACCACCUGGGCUAAUACUGACACUGGGGUGCGAAAGCGUGGGGAGCAAAC